Molecule: non-coding RNA, 79 nt
Organism: Tupaia belangeri (northern tree shrew)
Lineage: Eukaryota; Metazoa; Chordata; Mammalia; Scandentia; Tupaiidae
Source: Rfam
CUCUGGCCCGUGGGGCAUCAGGAGGUCUCCCAUGUGGGAGACCAGACACCUGUUUAAUAUUUAAACAGCAGUGUUCCCC